UCCAAAAAAAGAAGUCUAAAGUUCGAGAGCCUCUCUCUCUAAAAACUAGAGAGAGAAAACAGAUCUGCAACCAACACCCCUCCCCCUCCUCUCUUACCUCCCUCCGGAUCCAGAUCGUUGGCUCGAGGGUUGGGGGCGGCUCUUCUUCAUUUUGUUUUCUUCGGUUGUCUUCUUCAACGCUGUGCAGGAGCUUUGGGUCAGGCUGGGGACUCUUGGAUCCUGGUCGGUUCGUCCCGCUGGUGUGGUGCGGAGGUGCGGCGCGGUUGAGCGGUGGCUGUGGCGGUGGCGGAAAGGCCAGUUCCCGGAUCGGUUUCUACCGCGGUGGUUGCACGGCUGCCUUGGGAUCGGGUUGCAGUUGUCGAACAGAUUCAAUCUGUGGUGGCGCGGUAAUGUGCUGCGGUGUGACAUGACGCUGCGGUGGUGGAAUAGAUGGAAGCCAGUUCGGGUUCGACUAUGGUGGCUGCUCGGGCUGCGGUGCUUUGGGUUCGUUCGAAUGGUGGUGGCUGAAGAUAGUCGGGUCGGGUCGUGGUCAUGAGAUGGGAAAUUGAGAAUGGGGUUGUAUUAUGUGAAAAAGAAUUCCUCAAAAGCUGUUUACACUUCUGAACUGCAAUCUGUAUGUAUCGCUGGGAGUGGAGGGCUGCAGAGAGGAUCAAGAAGAGUAGUACAUGGUGGAGAGAUGGAUUUGGCCUUGGCAACAGAGGCAUCAAGUGUAUAUGAUUGAAGGGUGCACAAGGUGCUGUUACUGCUAUGAUGUACUUUACCUUGUUACAACCCUGCACGCGCAUCCUAGCUAUCCUCUGCAGAGGUGGAGAACUGUGACUACUUGCAAGAUCACAUGCUCAACUUAAGUUGCUAGUAGCUGCUGGCAUGUUUAAAUGUUAAAGUUUAUAACAGGGCAGAGUUAUACCAGUAGUUGCUUCAAAUAUAGUUAUCUGUUCAGAUUCAUGGCUCGUGGUUAGUAUCACUUGUUCAUAAUGAGAAUGUACGUUUAACUAGGAAUUAGAUAAGAUUAGAAUGUACGUUUAACUAGGAAUUAGUUACAAGAAGUGCUUGUAGUCAAGUAUAUUGUAACGAGUAAUAGAUACAAUGACGUUUUGGGAUUGUAAAGAUUAUUUGUAUGUAAAUGUCUUCUUUUUGUUUCAA
Molecule: long non-coding RNA, 1143 nt
Organism: Rosa rugosa (rugosa rose)
Lineage: Eukaryota; Viridiplantae; Streptophyta; Magnoliopsida; Rosales; Rosaceae
Exons: 6
Source: RefSeq, a predicted model, not a curated record